This 567-nucleotide small RNA is filed under the name Pan troglodytes (chimpanzee). RNAcentral describes it as "retained intron". Lineage: Eukaryota; Metazoa; Chordata; Mammalia; Primates; Hominidae. The record is from RNAcentral.
AUUUGGUGGGGACAGAGAUCCAAACCAUAUCAAUAGGUAUUUACACUUUAAGAAAAUGAGAUUUGUUCUGAAAGUUAGUUACUACAUUAAUGGUUUGAAUUUGGGAUGAUAUAUUUGCUCAUAGAAACCUUCUUUUAAAUCCAUAUUGAAUUCACAACCAGCUUGUAGAAACCCUAUAUUGACAAAUUUAUUGAAGACAUAGAAAUUUUACUAAUGCUGUCUUAAUCUUUUACAUUUCCUUUCCUCUUUUUCUUCAUUUUUAAGAGGUUUUGUGUACACCACCUCCAAAAAUAAAAAAUGGAAAACACACCUUUAGUGAAGUAGAAGUAUUUGAGUAUCUUGAUGCAGUAACUUAUAGUUGUGAUCCUGCACCUGGACCAGAUCCAUUUUCACUUAUUGGAGAGAGCACGAUUUAUUGUGGUGACAAUUCAGUAUGGAGUCGUGCUGCUCCAGAGUGUAAAGUGGUCAAAUGUCGAUUUCCAGUAGUCGAAAAUGGAAAACAGAUAUCAGGAUUUGGAAAAAAAUUUUACUACAAAGCAACAGUGAUGUUUGAAUGUGAUAAGGGUU